Pygocentrus nattereri (red-bellied piranha) is the source of this 5168-nucleotide RNA transcript. It is a transcript of the gene named tetratricopeptide repeat protein 39C-like, with no coding region annotated. NCBI's taxonomy places the organism in Eukaryota, Metazoa, Chordata, Actinopteri, Characiformes, Serrasalmidae. The transcript has 14 exons. The record is from RefSeq and is a predicted model, not a curated record.
GGUUACGCCCACAAAAACGGUCACACCAGCCAGCCGCCUUCAGACCGAGAGCCGGACACAGGGCUGCUGACCGCGAAGAGCGGGGCUGUGGGAGCGUGAGCGGGUCCAGUGACCGCUCGGGGGUCUGUGUUGAGCGCUUUCCCCCCGGCUGGCCCGUGUGUGGAGUCUUUCUUUCGUUUCGCGUGACACUAAUAGCCAGUUAGCCUGCAGCGGUCGCGCUCGUGACUGCGUUUCCUGCUGAUGGUGUGAGGUGCCGGGUUGUUUUCGGGCGCUGUUCAGUGCGGAGUGGGUCUGUUUAUCUCUCUGUGCUGCCGUCCUGCUGUCUGAGCCAUGGCCGAGGCCGAGCAGGUCGACGACGCCGAGCUGUCUCUCCGAGGAAUAAACAUGCUGCUCAACAACGGCUUCAAGGAGAGCGCCGAGCUUUUCCACAGAUACAGGAAUUACAGCCCUCUGAUGAGUUUUGGUGCUAGCUUUGUCAGUUUUCUGAACGCCAUGAUGACGUUUGAAGAAGAGAAGAUGCAGGUGGCGUAUGAGGACCUCCGGGCCACUGAGAGGCUGUGUGAAUGUGACAGCACUGGUGUCAUCGAGACCAUCAAAAACAAGAUCAGAAAGAGUCAGGUGGAUGGUCACAGAUCAGAGGUGGCCAUGAUGGAGCGACUGCAGAGGCUGAUCAUAGUGGCAGACUGCCAAGUCUACCUGGCUGUUCUUUCCUUCGUCAGACAGGAGCUCUCAGCAUAUAUUAAGGCUGGUUGGAUUCUUCGCAAAGCCUGGAAGAUGUACAAUAAAUGCUACAAUGACAUCAGUCAGCUACAGGAAGCCUGCCAGAGGAGGUCCUCUGCACCUCAAGGGGUGCUGUCCUCCGAUCAGGCCAAACCCAGUCAGAGUCCUCCACUACUGCCUGAACCCCAGGAGGAACACUCUACUGAUCUGCCCAAAGACAACCAGAAAUCUGCUCUACCUCCUGUAACAAAGGCUGCACAAUCUAAUAAACAUCCUGACCACCAGGAGGCACACACCUCCAGUAAACCCAAACACAGCCAGAAGGCACCCCUGCGGUACGAGGCCGGCUUGACAGCAGAGUCUCUGAGCCGACUGAAGGGUUCGGUCAGCUUCGGAUACGGCCUCUUCCACCUCUGCAUCUCCAUGGUGCCUCCUCACCUGCUCAAGAUCAUUAACCUGCUGGGCUUCCCUGGCGACCGGCAGCAGGGGCUAACGUCCCUCACGUAUGCGAGCGAAAGUAAGGACAUGAAGGCCCCUCUUGCUACACUUGCCCUCUUGUGGUACCACACGGUAGUACAGCCCUUCUUUGCACUGGACGGCUCAGAGACGGAGGCGGGGCUUCUGGCUGCCAAAGCCAUUCUUCAGAAGAAAGAAGCGGAAUACCCAGACUCCUCCCUCUUCAUAUUCUUCAAAGGCAGAGUGCUGCGGCUGGAGUGCCAAAUCAGCAGUGCCUUAACGUCCUUCAACAGUGCUUUGGAACUGGCUACAGGCCAGAGGGAGAUCCAGCAUAUUUGUCUCUAUGAGAUUGGUUGGUGCAGUAUGAUCGAGUUGAGCUUUACCGAUGCAUUCAAAGCGUUUGAUCGUCUGAGGACGGAGUCCCGUUGGUCCCAGUGUUACUACGCCUACCUCACUGGAGUGUGUCAGGGAGCAGCGGGUGAUCUGGACAGAGCAUGCUCUGUGCUUAAAGAUGCUGCUCGCCUCUUCAGGAGGAAGCACAACCAGAUUGAGCAGUUUUCCAUGAGGAAGGCGGAGGAUUUAAGAAAGCUCCCGCCUACAAGAGAGCGGUGCACUAUGGCAGCCAUCGAGGUGCUCUACCUUUGGAAAGCUCUGCCCAACAGCUCUACAUCCAAACUGCAGCUCAUGAUUGAAGUUUUACAGCAGAUGGAGGACUCUUCGUGUUCUGGUCUGAAUUACCUCCUGCUGGGCGCCGUGCACAAAUGCCUGGGCAACAGCCCAAACGCAGUGCAGUGCUUUCAGGUGGCUUUGAGAGAUGAGCAGGGGCGUCUAAAUAACUCUUAUGUGCAGCCUUAUUCUCUGUAUGAGCUGGGAUGCAUAUUUCUGGAAAGCCCGGAGCUCUCCCAUUUGUGUUGUUACUUAACCUACUGGUGGGCCCAAAGUUAAGUACAUCCUUCAGUACCAUUUUAGAAUAAGUUUACCCUUAUAAAGCAUUUAAGCAUGAUUUAAUAUUAGUUUUUAAUGGUUAUGAGUUAGGCCAUAAACACUUUAAAUACCAUUAAUAAGCAGUUAUAACACGUUAAUAAAUGUGAUAGAGAAUACAAGAUCAGUAAACGUCAGGUUUAACAUUAUAAAUGAAUAUGGGUUAACCAUAAAGCAAACAGGUUACUGUUGUCCUUUUUAUGUUUUAACUGCUCAUUAAUGAUUUUAAGGUCUGUAGGGCCUAAUUAAUAAUCAUUAAUAAACUCAUUUUCAACCAUUCAUGAACACUUUAUAAGGGUAAUCUUGUUUUAAGUGGUACCCACACUAUAAUGUAAGAAUAGCUUAGACAGUUUGAAUUGAAAUCCCUGUAGUUCCUGAAUAAUAAGCCUUAGUAUGUAGUCAGCCUGAGACUUUAAGUGGUUAUGGAUAUAUUUUUUUAAUGUUUAUGAGUCUGUGUAUGAUGUAUACUGUGCACCAGAACUGAUUUAGCUACUGAGCAGUGCUGUUUUUUUUGUUUCUUCUUCUUUUUAGUCUACAGCCAAAGGAAGAGCUCUUCUACUUCAAGCAAAGGAGGACUUUUCUGCGUAUGACUUUGAGAACAGGCUACACGUGCGAAUCCACACAGCAUUAGCCUCACUGAAAGAGGAAGCAUCCCAAUAACUAGACUUUUCAAGACUCCAUUCCUCUCCCCUUCCAGAAGCAAGAGCAAUAUGUUCUUGUGUAAUAAAAGAUUGACCGUUUGAGCGGCUCUCGUCUUGAACAAGGGGAAAGAAACAGAACGUCGAACAUCUGUAAAUGACUGAAGACCCGUGGGACAGCGUUGGCUGCACUGCACUGGAAGAACUAAUAUUGAACAUGACGCAGCGGUGUCCAAAAAAUGAAACGAACAUCCCCUUUAAACAGCGACAGAGGCGAUGGAUGGAACUGCCACCAUAGAAUGAAAUGAGGAGUCAAUAAAAACUUUAAUGAGAUUCAUCCAGUCAAGACAGCUUCUCACCAAAUGCCCUUUAACCCUUAGAAGUUGCGGUUAUCGCUGGCGAUAACAAGAGCAUAUUAUAAUUUGAUAUGAAUUAUUUCUGACUCGUAGCUCUUUGAAACAAAAGAAGACAUUUUUGUCAAAAGUGCAGUUUCCAGGCUACUUUUGUGUUUAUAAGAUUUCAUUGUAGUAUUGUAGUACAAUGGACAUGUAAUUACUUAUAAGGCUAACUACAUGAUUAAUUAUGUACAUACAUUUUAAUAGUACAGGAAAACAACUUUAACUUGACUUCUAAGGGUUAAAGCUGUCUGACUUUUCUGGACCCACACACAGCCCUUCAGUCCCUCCUCAUGAAAAAUACAGUAAGACACCCUUAGUUCUAAUCAACGGAACCAUUUGCGUUCUCUCCUCCAUUGUGAACUUUGCAUUUAAUGGAGUCAUAAGUCACCUGUUGGACGUAUUUUUCCACUCUGGACAUCCACCUUGAAUGUGGUCAGGUUUAAUGGCAGCUCUGCCCUUUUUCUAGUCUUUGUAUAAAUACCAGAGAGUAAGUAGCUCUCCUCUAAAGGAGCCUCUGUUACACUGGUGAUGAUUUUACACAAAAGCAAAGUAUGGCAUUAAUCGUCAAGAAUGAAUAUGGUUUAGUUGUUUGGACUGUAUUGUAUUAGUCUAGAUGCACAGUUAGACACUUACAGUGUAGACGAUGACGAAGUUGAAAGCAGUUCAGUAAUAAUUUUGUCUUUCACAAAUGAACUAUUUUACUUUAGAUGGAUACAAUAACAGCAUUUUUAAAUGAUUGUAUCUUUAGUAUCUUAAGUUCCUGCAGAAUUUGAGAAGGAUAGUGCAGGUGCAUCCAAGCUGUUCUCAAUUCUAAUAGUUCGAGAACUGAAUUGUCUGCUGCUGUUCUGGGUUACGGCCAUCUAACUGGCUUAGAUGUCUAAAAAUUGUCAUGUGAUUGUUGACAUUACUGUCCAACAGGAAUACGUUACUCACUUGCCGCACUGGCGUCCUCUAAGAACAGCAGACUGAAAGCAGACCGCAUGUUCACCCUCAGUUUUCCUUAUUGAUAGCUGAAGACAUGCGCUGAAAAAACUAAAAAGUUUGAGAAAACUCAAAAUGCAACAUCGUGCAUUAAGAUUUUUUGAUUUUUGUUUUCUCAACGGCUUCCGUUAGGCUGGCCGUAAAAUAGGAAUUGUUCGGAAAAAAAAGCAGAGCCUAUAUUAUAGCAUUUGCCAGACACUGGCUUCCAGUCUUAGAGAGGUAAGCUAUCGUAGCACUAGGAGUCUUGGUCACAGAUGCUUAUUAGUACAGCAUGGUGUGCUUAUCUGGGAGAGGUAUGAAACCCCAGUGUGCUGGGUGGAGUGUAGCGGUAUUACCUGCUGUGUUACACAAACUGCAGUCAGUGUUUGGAAUAGUGUAGUGGAUAACACUGCUACCCUCCACCUAGCAGACUGAUGCGUGAUUCUUGGCCUGAGACAGAACCAAGGGUCCCUGAAUAAGACUCUUAAUGCAUGUUAGCUACCUCUGUAACAUGGUUAGACUGUAAGUCUGAUGAUGGACGAUGGUGUCUUCCAACAGAUGUUAAUGUAAUGUUUCCCCUUUUUAAAAAUAUAUGUUAUUUACAGUCUAAUGCUGAAUGAACAUACUGAAGUUAAACAGAAUAACCUUAGUAAGAGUGAAGACCACGCAAUCUGCUGAUGAGAAAAUCUUCUGUCUGGGCCGUGGUUAAAAUGACUUGAAAUUCAUUGCCAAAAUACUGAAUUACAGUGUUUUACAGAUAAUCAGAUAAGUUGAUUAACAUGGAGGGUGUGGCUUUAAGACACUAGCUACAGCACUGUCAGUGGAUGCAGUUUGCUUAAAGAUGUUUCUGAUUUUCUGAUUUAAUGAAUGAGGCUCAACAGUAGGUGUUGAAUGUAAUUUAUGUUGUAGAUCUAACUCUUGACCUCAACUUUUGAAAUGUAAACAGUUGAACACUGUGUGGCCUCUGUUCUUGACCCAUCAGUAAAGAUCUUUUAGAAUGGAGAACUUAUUAUAA